AAAUUUUAAGAGUUUGAUCCUGGCUCAGGAUGAACGCUGGCUGUGUGCCUAAUACAUGCAUGUCGAGCGAGGUUCUUUUGAACCUAGCGGCGAAUGGGUGAGUAACACGUGCUUAAUCUACCCUUUAGAUUGGAAUACACAAUGGAAACAUUGGCUAAUGCCGGAUACGCAUGGAAUCGCAUGAUUCCGUUGUGAAAGGAGCCUUUAAAGCUCCGCUAGAGGAUGAGGGUGCGGAACAUUAGUUAGUUGGUAGGGUAAUGGCCUACCAAGACUAUGAUGUUU
This 282-nucleotide ribosomal RNA is filed under the name Mycoplasmopsis arginini. RNAcentral's name for it is "Mycoplasma arginini partial 16S ribosomal RNA". It matches the Rfam family "Bacterial small subunit ribosomal RNA", at positions 1 to 284 of the family's 1533-position model. Lineage: Bacteria; Bacillati; Mycoplasmatota; Mycoplasmoidales; Metamycoplasmataceae. The record is from RNAcentral.